CUGUGUUCAGCCCAACCCCCCGGGGCUGAACAGACAAGACAACCCCCGCCUCCCCCCAGGCGGGGGUUGUCCACU
This 75-nucleotide non-coding RNA is filed under the name Rhodococcus sp. AD45. Its description in RNAcentral is "6C". It matches the Rfam family "6C RNA". The record is from RNAcentral. Lineage: Bacteria; Bacillati; Actinomycetota; Actinomycetes; Mycobacteriales; Nocardiaceae.